GAUGAAGAACGUAGCGAAAUGCGAUAAGUAAUGUGAAUUGCAGAAUUCAGUGAAUCAUCGAAUCUUUGAACGCACAUUGCGCCCGUCAGUAUUCUGGCGGGCAUGCCUGUUCGAGCGUCAUUACGCCCCUCAAGUCCCCUGUGGACUUGGUGUUGGGGAUCGGCGAGGCUGGUUUUCCAGCACAGCCGUCCCUUAAAUUAAUUGGCGGUCUCGCCGUGGCCCUCCUCUGCGCAGUAGUAAAACACUCGCAACAGGAGCCCGGCGCGGUCCACUGCCGUAAAACCCCCCAACUUUUUAUAGUUGACCUCGAAUCAGGUAGGACUACCCGGUGAACUUAAGCAUAUCAAUAAGCGGAGGA
This 358-nucleotide unclassified non-coding RNA is filed under the name soil metagenome. RNAcentral describes it as "partial contains 5.8S ribosomal RNA, internal transcribed spacer 2, and large subunit ribosomal RNA". The stretch from base 1 to 120 matches the Rfam family "5.8S ribosomal RNA", at positions 35 to 154 of the family's 154-position model. The record is from RNAcentral.